AGGCUUGUAUGAAUGGUUGGACAAAAAGUAAUCUGUCUCAAUUGUAAUAGUUGAACUUAACUUUUAAGUGAAAAGGCUUAAAUACUUUAAGGGGACGAUAAGACCCUAUAAAACUUGACAAUAAAUUAGUUAAAUUAUAAAUUGUUAGUAUAACUUGAUCUUAAUUAAUGUUUGUUGCGUUGGGGCGACGGGAAUAUAAUUAGUAACUGUUCUUAAAUACUUAUUAACAAGUAUAAUUGAAAAAUAAUUGAUCCUUUAUUAAAGAUUAAAAGAUUAAGUUACUUUAGGGAUAACAGCGUAAUCU
This 304-nucleotide ribosomal RNA is filed under the name Penaeus monodon (black tiger shrimp). Its description in RNAcentral is "partial 16S ribosomal RNA". The record is from RNAcentral. Lineage: Eukaryota; Metazoa; Arthropoda; Malacostraca; Decapoda; Penaeidae.